This 484-nucleotide ribosomal RNA is filed under the name uncultured bacterium. Its description in RNAcentral is "partial 16S ribosomal RNA". It matches the Rfam family "Bacterial small subunit ribosomal RNA", at positions 30 to 507 of the family's 1533-position model. The record is from RNAcentral.
AUUGAACGCUGGCGGCAGGCCUAACACAUGCAAGUCGAGCGGAUGAAGGGAGCUGGCUCCUGGAUUCAGCGGCGGACGGGGGAGUAAUGCCUAGGAAUCUGCCUGGUAGUGGGGGAUAACGUCCGGAAACGGGCGCUAAUACCGCAUACGUCCUGAGGGAGAAAGUGGGGGAUCUUCGGACCUCACGCUAUCAGAUGAGCCUAGGUCGGAUUAGCUAGUUGGUGGGGUAAAGGCCUACCAAGGCGACGAUCCGUAACUGGUCUGAGAGGAUGAUCAGUCACACUGGAACUGAGACACGGUCCAGACUCCUACGGGAGGCAGCAGUGGGGAAUAUUGGACAAUGGGCGAAAGCCUGAUCCAGCCAUGCCGCGUGUGUGAAGAAGGUCUUCGGAUUGUAAAGCACUUUAAGUUGGGAGGAAGGGCAGUAAGUUAAUACCUUGCUGUUUUGACGUUACCAACAGAAUAAGCACCGGCUAACUUCGUG